This 397-nucleotide ribosomal RNA is filed under the name uncultured bacterium. RNAcentral describes it as "partial 16S ribosomal RNA". It matches the Rfam family "Bacterial small subunit ribosomal RNA", at positions 523 to 918 of the family's 1533-position model. The record is from RNAcentral.
AUACGUAGGUGGCGAGCGUUGUCCGGAUUUACUGGGUGUAAAGGGCGCGUAGGCGGGAUAGCAAGUCAGGUGUGAAAUCUAUGGGCUCAACCCAUAAACUGCACUUGAAACUGUUGUUCUUGAGUGUCGGAGAGGUAGAUGGAAUUCCUAGUGUAGCGGUGAAAUGCGUAGAUAUUAGGAGGAACACCAGUGGCGAAGGCGAUCUACUGGACGAUAACUGACGCUGAGGCGCGAAAGCGAGGGGAGCAAACAGGAUUAGAUACCCUGGUAGUCCACGCCAUAAACGAUGAAUACUAGGUGUGGGUGGGACUGACCCCAUCCGUGCCGCAGCUAACGCAAUAAGUAUUCCACCUGGGGAGUACGGCCGCAAGGCUGAAACUCAAAUGAAUUGACGGGG